Molecule: ribosomal RNA, 559 nt
Filed under: uncultured bacterium
Lineage: Bacteria
Description: bacterial SSU rRNA
Rfam family: Bacterial small subunit ribosomal RNA
Source: RNAcentral
CGGAAUCUGCCUAUUUGUGGGGGAUAACGUAGGGAAACUUACGCUAAUACCGCAUACGACCUACGGGUGAAAGCGGAGGACCUUCGGGCUUCGCGCAGAUAGAUGAGCCGAUGUCGGAUUAGCUAGUUGGCGGGGUAAAGGCCCACCAAGGCGACGAUCCGUAGCUGGUCUGAGAGGAUGAUCAGCCACACUGGAACUGAGACACGGUCCAGACUCCUACGGGAGGCAGCAGUGGGGAAUAUUGGACAAUGGGCGCAAGCCUGAUCCAGCCAUGCCGCGUGGGUGAAGAAGGCCUUCGGGUUGUAAAGCCCUUUUGUUGGGAAAGAAAAGCAGUCGGUUAAUACCCGAUUGUUCUGACGGUACCCAAAGAAUAAGCACCGGCUAACUUCGUGCCAGCAGCCGCGGUAAUACGAAGGGUGCAAGCGUUACUCGGAAUUACUGGGCGUAAAGCGUGCGUAGGUGGUUUGUUAGGUCUGAUGUGAAAGCCCUGGGCUCAACCUGGGAAUUGCAUUGGAUACUGGCAGGCUAGAGUGCGGUAGAGGGUAGUGGAAUUCCCGGU